Molecule: transfer RNA, 73 nt
Filed under: Callyspongia plicifera (azure vase sponge)
Lineage: Eukaryota; Metazoa; Porifera; Demospongiae; Haplosclerida; Callyspongiidae
Description: tRNA-Lys
Rfam family: tRNA
About the family: Transfer RNA (tRNA) molecules are approximately 80 nucleotides in length. Their secondary structure includes four short double-helical elements and three loops (D, anti-codon, and T loops).
Source: RNAcentral
UGGUGUGUAACUCAUGUGGGAGAGUAAUAGGCUUUUAACCUAGAGGAGGUUGGUUCGACUCCAAUCACAUCAA